This 301-nucleotide ribosomal RNA is filed under the name uncultured bacterium. RNAcentral's name for it is "partial 16S ribosomal RNA". It matches the Rfam family "Bacterial small subunit ribosomal RNA", at positions 510 to 808 of the family's 1533-position model. The record is from RNAcentral.
AGCAGCCGCGGGAAUACAGAGGGUGCGAGCGUUAAUCGGAUUUACUGGGCGUAAAGCGUGCGUAGGCGGCUUCUUAAGUCGGAUGUGAAAUCCCUGAGCUUAACUUAGGAAUUGCAUUCGAUACUGGGAAGCUAGAGUAUGGGAGAGGAUGGUAGAAUUCCAGGUGUAGCGGUGAAAUGCGUAGAGAUCUGGAGGAAUACCGAUGGCGAAGGCAGCCAUCUGGCCUAAUACUGACGCUGAGGUACGAAAGCAUGGGGAGCAAACAGGAUUAGAUACCCCCGUAGUCCCUGUCUCUUAUACA